This 446-nucleotide long non-coding RNA is filed under the name Mytilus galloprovincialis (Mediterranean mussel). The record is from RNAcentral. Lineage: Eukaryota; Metazoa; Mollusca; Bivalvia; Mytilida; Mytilidae.
AAAAAAAACAAAGUUGAUCCAUUCCAUAAGAAGUCCACUUUUAAAAAUCUUUAAAUAUAGGAUAUCAAAGGGUCUUGAUAAGAAGGGUUCUGCAUUUCUGUAUUCUUUUAAUUUAUAAUUAGUUUCCUCUGUUUUUGCCCUUUAUUCUCUGUUGCUAUAUUUUAGCGCUUCAUUUUUCUUAAUUUUUUUAUUAUUAUUAUUAUUUGUUUCCCCUAUUUUUCUAUAUUUGUUAUUUUUGUGGGCCAUAUUUCUGUAGAGUUGACUCAUUAUUCUUUAUUCUUUCUUCUUUAAAACCCCACCCAGACACUCAUAUCAGAACAAGGUGGACAUAAAAAAAACAGUUAACAGCUGAACUUCUAAAGGUUCAUACGAUAACGCUUUAAAUUGGAUUUUCAGACAUUACUUCCUUAACAGUGUUACAUGACCUUGUAUUUUUAUUGUUUGCC